AGAGUUUGAUCCUGGCUCAGGAUGAACGCUGGCGGCGUGCUUAACACAUGCAAGUCGAACGAUGAUCCGGUGCUUGCACCGGGGAUUAGUGGCGAACGGGUGAGUAACACGUGAGUAACCUGCCCUUAACUCUGGGAUAAGCCUGGGAAACUGGGUCUAAUACCGGAUAUGACUCCUCAUCGCAUGGUGGGGGGUGGAAAGCUUUUUGUGGUUUUGGAUGGACUCGCGGCCUAUCAGCUUGUUGGUGAGGUAAUGGCUCACCAAGGCGACGACGGGUAGCCGGCCUGAGAGGGUGACCGGCCACACUGGGACUGAGACACGGCCCAGACUCCUACGGGAGGCAGCAGUGGGGAAUAUUGCACAAUGGGCGAAAGCCUGAUGCAGCGACGCCGCGUGAGGGAUGACGGCCUUCGGGUUGUAAACCUCUUUCAGUAGGGAAGAAGCGAAAGUGACGGUACCUGCAGAAGAAGCGCCGGCUAACUACGUGCCAGCAGCCGCGGUAAUACGUAGGGCGCAAGCGUUAUCCGGAAUUAUUGGGCGUAAAGAGCUCGUAGGCGGUUUGUCGCGUCUGCCGUGAAAGUCCGGGGCUCAACUCCGGAUCUGCGGUGGGUACGGGCAGACUAGAGUGAUGUAGGGGAGACUGGAAUUCCUGGUGUAGCGGUGAAAUGCGCAGAUAUCAGGAGGAACACCGAUGGCGAAGGCAGGUCUCUGGGCAUUAACUGACGCUGAGGAGCGAAAGCAUGGGGAGCGAACAGGAUUAGAUACCCUGGUAGUCCAUGCCGUAAACGUUGGGCACUAGG
RNAcentral lists this ribosomal RNA (800 nucleotides) under uncultured bacterium. RNAcentral describes it as "bacterial SSU rRNA". It matches the Rfam family "Bacterial small subunit ribosomal RNA", at positions 8 to 820 of the family's 1533-position model. The record is from RNAcentral.